CGGCGGACGGGUGAGUAACGCGUGGGUAACCUGCCCUGUACACACGGAUAACAUACCGAAAGGUAUGCUAAUACGGGAUAACAUAAGAAAUUCGCAUGUUUUUCUUAUCAAAGCUCCGGCGGUACAGGAUGGACCCGCGUCUGAUUAGCUAGUUGGUGAGGUAAUGGCUCACCAAGGCGACGAUCAGUAGCCGACCUGAGAGGGUGAACGGCCACAUUGGGACUGAGACACGGCCCAA
Molecule: ribosomal RNA, 238 nt
Filed under: uncultured bacterium
Lineage: Bacteria
Description: partial 16S ribosomal RNA
Rfam family: Bacterial small subunit ribosomal RNA
Source: RNAcentral